RNAcentral lists this transfer RNA (53 nucleotides) under Eniclases elelimensis. RNAcentral's name for it is "partial tRNA-Ser". Lineage: Eukaryota; Metazoa; Arthropoda; Insecta; Coleoptera; Lycidae. The record is from RNAcentral.
AUGAACAUAUUAAUGCUCAAAUAAAAGUUAGAAGCUUUUUUUAAUAUUUCUUU